RNAcentral lists this ribosomal RNA (460 nucleotides) under Veillonella parvula. RNAcentral's name for it is "bacterial SSU rRNA". It matches the Rfam family "Bacterial small subunit ribosomal RNA", at positions 28 to 463 of the family's 1533-position model. The record is from RNAcentral. Lineage: Bacteria; Bacillati; Bacillota; Negativicutes; Veillonellales; Veillonellaceae.
GACGAACGCUGGCGGCGUGCUUAACACAUGCAAGUCGAACGAAGAGCGACGGAAGCUUGCUUCUAUCAAUCUUAGUGGCGAACGGGUGAGUAACGCGUAAUCAACCUGCCCUUCAGAGGGGGACAACAGUUGGAAACGACUGCUAAUACCGCAUACGAUCUAACCUCGGCAUCGAGGAUAGAUGAAAGGUGGCCUCUACAUGUAAGCUAUCACUGAAGGAGGGGAUUGCGUCUGAUUAGCUAGUUGGAGGGGUAACGGCCCACCAAGGCGAUGAUCAGUAGCCGGUCUGAGAGGAUGAACGGCCACAUUGGGACUGAGACACGGCCCAGACUCCUACGGGAGGCAGCAGUGGGGAAUCUUCCGCAAUGGACGAAAGUCUGACGGAGCAACGCCGCGUGAGUGAUGACGGCCUUCGGGGUUGUAAAGCUCUGUUAAAUCGGGACGAAAAGGCCUUUCUUGU